Molecule: small RNA, 80 nt
Filed under: Paenimyroides ummariense
Lineage: Bacteria; Pseudomonadati; Bacteroidota; Flavobacteriia; Flavobacteriales; Flavobacteriaceae
Description: Flavobacterium ummariense Flavo-1 RNA
Rfam family: Flavo-1 RNA
Source: RNAcentral
AACCAGUUGCGUUAGGGAUUAAAGUGAAAAGCCUUUUGUGAAGAAUGAACAAAAGCUUGUAGCGAAAAGCCCGACCCGUC